Molecule: ribosomal RNA, 497 nt
Filed under: uncultured bacterium
Lineage: Bacteria
Description: partial 16S ribosomal RNA
Rfam family: Bacterial small subunit ribosomal RNA
Source: RNAcentral
GAUGAACGCUGGCGGCGUGCCUAAUACAUGCAAGUCGAGCGAACAGACGAGGAGCUUGCUCCUCUGACGUUAGCGGCGGACGGGUGAGUAACACGUGGAUAACCUACCUAUAAGACUGGGAUAACUUCGGGAAACCGGAGCUAAUACCGGAUAAUAUAUUGAACCGCAUGGUUCAAUAGUGAAAGACGGUUUUGCUGUCACUUAUAGAUGGAUCCGCUCCGCAUUAGCUAGUUGGUAAGGUAACGGCUUACCAAGGCAACGAUUCGUAGCCGACCUGCGAGGGUGAGCGGCCACACUAGAAUAGAGACACGGAACAGACUCCAACGGGAGGCACGAGUAGGGUAUCUGAGUCAAGGGGCGAAACCCUGACGGAAAAACCCCGCGUGCGUGAUGAAGGUAUUCGAGUCUAAAAACUUUGUUAUUAGGGAAAAACAAUAGUAAAAGUAACAAUGCGCGACUGGAGGCUACCUAAUCAGAAAGCCACGGCUAAAUGCGUG